AAAUAAAUAAAACCCUAAAGAUCUGUCAUAUGUGAGAUGAAAACCCAAAGAUAUAUUAACUGAAAAUUGAAAACCUGAUUACUCACUAGUGAGAGGCGUCAACGAGCUGCUUCAAUGAUGCAGGAAGGAUAAGCAACGGCGAUGUCAAUGAGUUAGCGACGUUUUCCUUUCACCUAUGCUACGGCGAGAUUGAGGGGUGGGGAUUCUAUGCAGAGGUGAGAUGGGGAACUGACUCAGUCAGGAUGGCAAAAGAGCGACGAGGUGAGGCAAUGGACUGUCGACUGUGGCUGUGCGGAUAGGGCGAAAAAGAAUAUUCUGCUGAAAUUGAAA
Molecule: unclassified non-coding RNA, 330 nt
Filed under: Hevea brasiliensis (rubber tree)
Lineage: Eukaryota; Viridiplantae; Streptophyta; Magnoliopsida; Malpighiales; Euphorbiaceae
Source: RNAcentral